Molecule: ribosomal RNA, 371 nt
Filed under: uncultured bacterium
Lineage: Bacteria
Description: bacterial SSU rRNA
Rfam family: Bacterial small subunit ribosomal RNA
Source: RNAcentral
AGAGGGGGCCAGCGUUAUUCGGAAUUAUUGGGCGUAAAGGGCGCGUAGGCGGCCAUGCGUGUCUUCCGUGAAAUCCCUCGGCUUAACUGAGGACGUGCGGAAGAAACUGCAAGGCUCGAGUCCGGGAGAGGGGGGUGGAAUUCCCAGUGUAGCGGUGAAAUGCGUAGAUAUUGGGAGGAACACCGGUGGCGAAGGCGGCCCCCUGGACCGGUACUGACGCUGAGGCGCGAAAGCGUGGGUAGCAAACGGGAUUAGAUACCCCGGUAGUCCACGCCGUAAACGAUGGGCACUUGGUGUCGCGGGUAUCGACCCCUGCGGUGCCGAAGCUAACGCAUUAAGUGCCCCGCCUGGGGAGUACGGUCGCAAGGCUG